CCCCACAACGGCUUCCUGGCGUGGUGGCGAUAACAGGUAACGGAGCA
This 47-nucleotide non-coding RNA is filed under the name Nioella sediminis. RNAcentral describes it as "SAM-SAH-Weickhmann-2018 RNA". It matches the Rfam family "SAM/SAH riboswitch aptamer". Lineage: Bacteria; Pseudomonadati; Pseudomonadota; Alphaproteobacteria; Rhodobacterales; Paracoccaceae. The record is from RNAcentral.